GGACUACUAGGGUUUCUAAUCCUGUUUGCUCCCCACGCUUUCGCGUCUCAGCGUCAGUACCGUCCCAGCGAGCUGCCUUCGCCAUUGGUGUUCCUCCUGAUAUCUGCGCAUUUCACCGCUACACCAGGAAUUCCACUCGCCUCUUCCGGACUCUAGCUCGACAGUUUCCACCGGCAUUCCAGGGUUGAGCCCUGGACUUUCACAGCGGACUUACCGAGCCGCCUACACGCUCUUUACGCCCAAUGAUUCCGGACAACGCUUGCCCCCUACGUAUUACCGCGGCUGCUGACAC
RNAcentral lists this unclassified non-coding RNA (292 nucleotides) under uncultured fungus. Its description in RNAcentral is "sequence contains ITS1". The record is from RNAcentral. Lineage: Eukaryota; Fungi.